UACGGAGGAUGCAAGCGUUAUCCGGAAUCAUUGGGUUUAAAGGGUCCGCAGGCGGGUUGUUAAGUCAGGGGUGAAAUCUUACAGCUCAACUGUAAAAUUGCCUUUGAUACUGGCAAUCUUGAAUCAUUGUGAAGUGGUUAGAAUGUGUAGUGUAGCGGUGAAAUGCUUAGAUAUUACACAGAAUACCGAUUGCGAAGGCAGAUCACUAACAAUGUAUUGACGCUCAGGGACGAAAGCGUGGGAAGCAAACAGG
RNAcentral lists this ribosomal RNA (253 nucleotides) under uncultured bacterium. RNAcentral describes it as "partial 16S ribosomal RNA". It matches the Rfam family "Bacterial small subunit ribosomal RNA", at positions 524 to 776 of the family's 1533-position model. The record is from RNAcentral.